CACAGCCGUUUCUGUUCUAAACUCGGCUCCACAUGCUCUCAGGUCAAUCACGUCACUCUGAUGGAGUAAAGGUCUAAAGGAAGGGAGAUUCACGUUUAGAAAACAGGCAUCGCCUUGUCUGGUGAGUUCCAAUUCGGCAUCUUGUGGAGACCACACACCCGAGCAAUUGGCAUAGAUGACCACUGGGUGGCACUAGAUAACAAGGCUGAGGAGCCAUUCCCCCAUACACGAACUGGUUACCAGAUGUUUUGAAUGCAGUAUUCACCGUAAAGAAGCAAAGAAAGCUAUUCCUGGUGACUCCAGCUUCCUGCCCAUGUGGAGGCAAAGUAGCUAAUCCUGCUAGUGGGUACAGACUGACUUUCUUUUGUCAGAUCACCUUUUGCUCAGUGUGGCAGUCAGAACCACUACUACACCUGAGGGGAACCUCCACUGAUCCUCUACCUGAGUUAUUGAAAGCUGCCUUUUGAGCAUCAGGAGCAUCAGCAAAAAAACAAAUAUGUAUUUCACUGAGUUUACUUUUUCUGGUUUUGUUUGUUUGUUUGUUUGUUGUUGUUUUAAAAAUAAUGGUUUAUGUGCUUAAAUAUAAGAUUGUAAUUGUACACUGCUCUAGCUUACAACUUGAUAGCAGUAAUGAUUAUUUGUUUAAUGAGGGCUGGAUGUAGGUACUAGACUGAAUAUGUAAUCUACUGUUCUUCAACUGUGAGCCACAGCAGAUGGUUUCAGUCUAUGCAGAUUAAGAGCAAAGUAACACAUUUUGUAUUUCCAGAAUAAAUAGGAAUAUCUUAACACCAAUUACAGAUCAUGCAAAAUGGGAAAGACAGCAUUGAAAGUGCUGAACAGCUAGUGAUUUGAGCAGAUUUUGAGAUUAUAAAUAUUACAUUUGGCACCUUAGAAUCAUCCAUACCACGAACGGAUGAAAAACUGAGUGAGAAAAGAAUGAAUCUAUGAUAGGACUGGGAUUUGUCUCCCCUUCCCUUUAUGCCACUCUUCCACUUAAGCCUUUACAGUAAUUUCCAAAAUCCUUUUUUUUCAAGGACCGAAAUACACAAUUAGAACUAUUUUUGUUUCUGGGGUAGUUUCUCUGAAUAAAGCCCUUCUUACCUCUUAUCUUUUUUCUCAGGAGCUUAAAUCUAAAUAUUAAACAAGAGAGGACAGAAGUACAUAUGGGACAGAUGGGGUAGC
Lagopus leucura (white-tailed ptarmigan) is the source of this 1182-nucleotide long non-coding RNA. RefSeq lists it as uncharacterized. NCBI's taxonomy places the organism in Eukaryota, Metazoa, Chordata, Aves, Galliformes, Phasianidae. The transcript is spliced from 3 exons. The record is from RefSeq and is a predicted model, not a curated record.